This 110-nucleotide ribosomal RNA is filed under the name Pogona vitticeps (central bearded dragon). The record is from RNAcentral. Lineage: Eukaryota; Metazoa; Chordata; Lepidosauria; Squamata; Agamidae.
GCCUGUAUUACCCUGGAUACAUCUGAUCUCAUCCAGUUUUAGAACUAAGCAGGGUCAGGCCUGGUCAGUUCUGGGAUGGGAGACUGGUGGAUGCGAGGGAUCUCCAGAUA